GAUGAAGAACGCAGCAAAAUGCGAUAAGUAAUGUGAAUUGCAGAAUUCAGUGAAUCAUCGAAUCUUUGAACGCACAUUGCGCCCGCUGGUAUUCCGGCGGGCAUGCCUGUUCGAGCGUCAUUUCAACCCUCAAACCCCCGGGUUUGGUGUUGGGGAUCGGCUCUGCCUCACGGCGGUGCCGCCCCCGAAAUACAUUGGCGGUCUCGCUGCAGCCUCCAUUGCGUAGUAGCUAACACCUCGCAACUGGAACGCGGCGCGGCCAUGCCGUAAAACCCCAACUUCUGAAUGUUGACCUCGGAUCAGGUAGGAAUACCCGCUGAACUUAAGAAUAUCAAUAAGCGGAGGA
RNAcentral lists this unclassified non-coding RNA (346 nucleotides) under soil metagenome. RNAcentral's name for it is "partial contains 5.8S ribosomal RNA, internal transcribed spacer 2, and large subunit ribosomal RNA". The stretch from base 1 to 120 matches the Rfam family "5.8S ribosomal RNA", at positions 35 to 154 of the family's 154-position model. The record is from RNAcentral.